GACGAACGCUGGCGGCGUGCUUAACACAUGCAAGUCGAACGGAAAGGCCCUGCUUUUGUGGGGUGCUCGAGUGGCGAACGGGGGAGUAACACGUGAGUAACCUGCCCUUGACUUUCGGAUAACUUCAGGAAACUGGGGCUAAUACCGGAUAGGAUCUCCUGCUGCAUUGUGGGGGUUGGAAAGUUUCGGCGGUUGGGGAUGGACUCGCGGCUUAUCAGCUUGUUGGUGGGGUAGUGGCUGACCAAGCCUUUGACGGGUAGCCCGCCUGAGAGGGUGACCGGCGACAAGAGGACUGAGAGACGGCGCAGUCGGCUAUGGGAGGCAGCAGGGGGGAGUAUGACACAGUGAGCGCACGUGUGAGGAGGAAGCGCCGGGGGCGUAAAGACCGCCUUUUGGGAGAGAACAGCUGUCGGUUGAGACGAAGCGUGAGUGACGGUAAUGGAUAAAGAAGCACCGGCUAACUACGUG
This 468-nucleotide ribosomal RNA is filed under the name uncultured bacterium. Its description in RNAcentral is "partial 16S ribosomal RNA". It matches the Rfam family "Bacterial small subunit ribosomal RNA", at positions 28 to 507 of the family's 1533-position model. The record is from RNAcentral.